RNAcentral lists this ribosomal RNA (497 nucleotides) under uncultured bacterium. RNAcentral's name for it is "partial 16S ribosomal RNA". It matches the Rfam family "Bacterial small subunit ribosomal RNA", at positions 28 to 507 of the family's 1533-position model. The record is from RNAcentral.
GAUGAACGCUGGCGGCGUGCCUAAUACAUGCAAGUCGAGCGAACGGACGAGAAGCUUGCUUCUCUGAUGUUAGCGGCGGACGGGUGAGUAACACGUGGAUAACCUACCUAUAAGACUGGGAUAACUUCGGGAAACCGGAGCUAAUACCGGAUAAUAAUUUGAACCGCAUGGUUCAAAAGUGAAAGACGGUCUUGCUGUCACUUAUAGAUGGAUCCGCGCUGCAUUAGCUAGUUGGUAAGGUAACGGCUUACCAAGGCAACGAUGCAUAGCCGACCUGAGAGGGUGAUCGGCCACACUGGAACUGAGACACGGUCCAGACUCCUACGGGAGGCAGCAGUAGGGAAUCUUCCGCAAUGGGCGAAAGCCUGACGGAGCAACGCCGCGUGAGUGAUGAAGGUCUUCGGAUCUUAAAACUCUGUUAUUAGGGAAGAACAUAUGUGUAAGUAACUGUGCACAUCUUGACGGUACCUAAUCAGAAAGCCACGGCUAACUACGUG